GACGUAGGGCGCGAGCGUUGUCCGGAUUUAUUGGGCGUAAAGAGCUCGUAGGCGGCUUGUUGCGUCAGCUGUGAAAAACCCGCAGCUCAACUGUGGGCUUGCAGCUGAUACGGGCAGGCUUGAGUUCGGUAGGGGAGACUGGAAUUCCUGGUGUAGCGGUGAAAUGCGUAGAUAUCUGGAGGAACACCGGUGGCGAAGGCGGCAUCCUGGACCGGUAUUGACGCUGAGGCGCGAAAGCUAGGGGAGCAAACGGG
Molecule: ribosomal RNA, 254 nt
Filed under: uncultured bacterium
Lineage: Bacteria
Description: partial 16S ribosomal RNA
Rfam family: Bacterial small subunit ribosomal RNA
Source: RNAcentral